AGAAUCAACGCUGGCGGCGUGCCUAACACAUGCAAGUCGAACGAGAAAGUGGAGCAAUCCAUGAGUAAAGUGGCGACCGGGUGAGUAACACGUGACUAACCUACCUUCGAGUGGGGGAUAACCUCGGGAAACCGAGGCUAAUACCGCAUAACAUCGUGAGAUCAAAGCAGUAAUGCGCUGGAAGAGGGGGUCGCGGCUGAUUAGCUAGUUGGCGGGGUAAUGGCCCACCAAGGCGAAGAUCGGUAGCCGGCCUGAGAGGGCGCACGGCCACACUGGAACUGAAACACGGUCCAGACUCCUACGGGAGGCAGCAGUGGGGAAUUUUGCGCAAUGGGGGAAACCCUGACGCAGCAACGCCGCGUGGAGGAUGAAGUCCCUUGGGACGUAAACUCCUUUCGACCAAGACGAUAAUGACGGUACUGGUGGAAGAAGCACCGGCUAACUCUGCGCCAGCAGCCGC
Molecule: ribosomal RNA, 460 nt
Filed under: uncultured bacterium
Lineage: Bacteria
Description: SSU rRNA
Rfam family: Bacterial small subunit ribosomal RNA
Source: RNAcentral